Molecule: transfer RNA, 74 nt
Organism: Acidovorax sp. Leaf160
Lineage: Bacteria; Pseudomonadati; Pseudomonadota; Betaproteobacteria; Burkholderiales; Comamonadaceae
Rfam family: tRNA
About the family: Transfer RNA (tRNA) molecules are approximately 80 nucleotides in length. Their secondary structure includes four short double-helical elements and three loops (D, anti-codon, and T loops).
Source: Rfam
GGGUCUGUAGCUCAGCUGGUUAGAGCACUGUGUUGAUAACGCAGGGGUCGUUGGUUCGAGCCCAACUAGACCCA